This is a long non-coding RNA of Gossypium arboreum, 169 nucleotides long. RefSeq lists it as uncharacterized. The record is from RefSeq and is a predicted model, not a curated record. Lineage: Eukaryota; Viridiplantae; Streptophyta; Magnoliopsida; Malvales; Malvaceae. The transcript is spliced from 3 exons.
GGCUACUGAUCGAGGAGUGUCUGAAAAGCUUGGAUCAUCGGAGUGACUAAAUCUAAUCAUCAACUUCGGCAAAGGACAAAUCGCAUAGGAGAUCUCGUCAAGGAAUAUCGCAAAUCAGCUCAAGAGCAAAGGGGAACUAGAUUGGAUAAAGGAAAGGAGAAAGCAAACG